GAUGCCACUCUCCUUUCUUCAAACAUGUUUUAGAUCCUAGUACUUUUUGUUUGUGCAAGUGAGCAAUUCACAUUGUGCUAAAAUGAGUGUGCAGUGACACGCCUCAAAAAAGUAGAGCUUCCUCUUGUAUAAGAGAGGUACAGGCUAGAAUUAGGACUUGGGUCUCCUGACUCCAAUUUUGUUUCCUCUGAAAGGCCAAACAAAUUUCAGAUUUUGGACUUCUGGAUAUCCAAAUUUAAGAAUGCCCAGCAGCUAAAAAUCUAUGCAAGUUCUCAAAGUCUGUAACACUUGUGGUCCAAGCACUUUGCAUAUGGGGCGCUUGACCAGAAUUGCAGCCUUACAUAACUAAAAAUUUUUGUAAAUAUCAGUAAAUGUACCAUUGACAAAAACAAAAAGAUUAGUAAUGACACCUUCAGAGUCAUUCUGUUCUGAUUGUAAGAUGACAAGCAAGUGGUGUGCUAGUAAGUCCUUUAGGGACACACAGUUAUGACAAGAGAUGGUGAUUCAGGUCGAGGCUUUAAAAAAAAAUCUAUAGGGCUUGUUCAGUUUAGGAUUGAGGCCUUGGGAGUUUGGAACACUGGAGAUUUUUGACCAUGCAUAGGGCAACUUAGUCAGAUGCUAAAACUAAAGCCAGCAGCUUGAGAGAUGAGUAAGAAAUUAUCAAAUUCAUUUGAAAGAAAAGAGAGAAUUAGGUGCAGGGUGAAUGAAUUAAAACAAGUUUAAACCUGGCUGGUGGUGCAUACCCUAAAUCCCAGCACUCUGAGGCAGAAACAUUUGGAGCUCUGUGAGUUCAAGGCCAACCAGGUCUACUUAUUGAAUUCCAGGGCAUAAUGAAUUUGAGACAGGGCAGACCCUGUCUCAAAAAUAACACAAACAAAACCACCUGGUUUAAGGCUGCAAAUACAGCUCUGUGGUAGAGUGUGUCCAAAGUUUGACGCCCAACACCAGAGGAAAGAGACAAGAGGAAGAAGGAAACGUUGAUCUGAUUAGAGAAGAAAAACUGAGAAAGUCACCUAAAGAAAAGAAAAGAAACUCAAGUCAAGGAAUCUUUUGAAGAAAAACGACAGUUUUACUCCAAGUGGACCAUGUACUUUAAAGCCAAACAGUCAGCAAGUACUGCUUGAACACAGUUAUGCUUUUAGGAACCCUAUGGAGGC
Molecule: non-coding RNA, 1157 nt
Organism: Cricetulus griseus (Chinese hamster)
Lineage: Eukaryota; Metazoa; Chordata; Mammalia; Rodentia; Cricetidae
Source: RefSeq, a predicted model, not a curated record